RNAcentral lists this ribosomal RNA (325 nucleotides) under uncultured bacterium. Its description in RNAcentral is "bacterial SSU rRNA". It matches the Rfam family "Bacterial small subunit ribosomal RNA", at positions 28 to 334 of the family's 1533-position model. The record is from RNAcentral.
GAUGAACGCUGGCGGCGUGCUUAACACAUGCAAGUCGAACGGGACUGUAUUGACGAGAGUCUUCGGAAAGGAAUUGAUGCAGUUUAGUGGCGGACGGGUGAGUAACGCGUGGGUAACCUGCCCUGUACAGGGGGAUAACAGCUGGAAACGGCUGUUAAUACCGCAUAAGCGCACGGGAUCGCAUGAUUUUGUGUGAAAAACUCCGGUGGUACAGGAUGGACCCGCGUCUGAUUAGCUUGUUGGCGGGGUAACGGCCCACCAAGGCGACGAUCAGUAGCCGGCCUGAGAGGGUGAACGGCCACAUUGGGACUGAGACACGGCCCAA